RNAcentral lists this unclassified non-coding RNA (1220 nucleotides) under Leishmania donovani. RNAcentral's name for it is "gene:LdHU3.36.0240(CDS-product:hypothetical_prote in_conserved)". The record is from RNAcentral. Lineage: Eukaryota; Euglenozoa; Kinetoplastea; Trypanosomatida; Trypanosomatidae.
CGGUGCGGCUUUGUUUUCUUCAUUCUUUUUAGUCGAACCGCGCUCUGUGCAUCUUUCGCCUCCCCUGCAUAUCAUCGAGAUCAUAGACAUCUACCAUGCAGCAGCUUCAGGUGAGCGCCUGCGUGCUGCUCUUAGCGCUGCUCUGCGUUACGACUGUGAGAGGCAGCGGUGAUCUUCAGCAAGGGACGUGGGAUGUGAGCACUCUUUUACCAGGCCGUGGUGCUGUGCCUCCCAACUACGAGCUCACCGUACAACCAGGAAAGUGGACGGUGAGGGAGAGGGACAAUGGGCGCCUUGGUCGCCUUUUCGACUACGCCGCCGCGCGCGUUGGGCUUGUUUACGCCGGCGUCCCCAGCGACGAGCACGCGCUGUGCCGCAUGCCCUCGUCAUCGACUCUAAAGCUUGCGGCUGUCCGCACGGACGACGGCGUUCGGCUCGAGUGCCAGACGGUGUGGUUCUCGCCGUCCAUGUUGCGCUCAUUUGAAAAUGACGGACUUCUGCUUCGCCGCUUUGACCCUGCCGAGCCACUGUACAGCGCCGACAACGGAAGGUGCCUUGCUACGCCGUGGCGCGUGCGGGAGCUCUACGUGGCAAGGAUGGGAGAGGGCUCUGUGCUGCUCACCGGCGUCCUCGUCGGUGGCGCGUCAGACACGCAGGAGCCGUGCAGCGUACAUUUGGAGGUUAGACACCGUCCUAUCGCGUCAGGAAAGGAUUCGUCGUCUUCGGGUUCCCUUGUCUCCAUCGCGAUGCUGCUCAUGGUCGUCGUUGUGCGCCUGCUACCGCGUUAUAUUUUGACCCGAAAAGGCCAGCUGGACAAGACGAGUUACCGCGGCAAGAACCCCACCAGCCUAACACCGACUCAGCGCCUCCAUCUGCUGCGCCAGCAAAAGGAGAUCAUCGAAAAGAUGAAGGCGGAGGAUUCCGCCAACGCGGCCAAGCGCACCGCCGUGUAAAAAGGCUGCCGGCGGAAUUGUGCGCCUGUGCCUAGGAUGUCAUGUUGCGGGCCGACCUUCUGCUCAGGGCGCAAACACAAGUGGACCGCGCUUCGUCGACAACGAGUGGUAAGUGGGCGUGGGACGGUAGGUAGAGGAACACGCACAUGACACUCGUGCGCCGAAAAAGGACGCAGGGUCAUCGCUUUACGUCUACCAUGGGCACCACUAGCAUUAGGUCUCAACGCUUUCCUGUGAAAAGUUGCGUGCGUUGCUUCUGAAGCGAAC